RNAcentral lists this ribosomal RNA (253 nucleotides) under uncultured bacterium. Its description in RNAcentral is "partial 16S ribosomal RNA". It matches the Rfam family "Bacterial small subunit ribosomal RNA", at positions 524 to 776 of the family's 1533-position model. The record is from RNAcentral.
UACGUAGGGGGCUAGCGUUGUCCGGAAUCAUUGGGCGUAAAGCGCGCGUAGGCGGUCAGGUAAGUCCGGUGUGAAAGUCAAAGGCUCAACCUUUGAAUGCCGCUGGAUACUGCCUGACUUGAGUCCGGAAGGGGCGAGUGGAAUUCCUGGUGUAGCGGUGAAAUGCGCAGAUAUCAGGAAGAACACCCGUGGCGAAGGCGGCUCUCUGGGACGGUACUGACGCUGAGACGCGAAAGCGUGGGGAGCGAACAGG